Non-coding RNA from Cinara cedri, 5946 nucleotides. NCBI's taxonomy places the organism in Eukaryota, Metazoa, Arthropoda, Insecta, Hemiptera, Aphididae. The record is from the annotation of a GenBank genome assembly.
GCUCCGCUCGUCUCGACGUCACCACUGCUCCUCUCUCUCUCCGCAUCGACGCCGUACGCGAAGCAUUGUUUUCGACUCCGAAUAAUUAUUAUGUAUAAUUGUUUUUCUUAACUAAUGUUGUUUUUAAUUGUUGCGUGCNCGCCUUUCCUCCGUCAAAAGCCGUCUGCUGGCGAUCACUUGUAUUAUGUCUUUAUGUUGUAAAUAAGCGUUUCUUUAUUACCUUAUCAUAAACCUCGUAUCUUGGUGUAACCCGCCAAAAUACUAAUAAAAGAAACGGUUCUUAUCUGUAACCGUUUAUUUUAUAAGUUGUAUAAGUGUCAAGUGAUAUAAACCACGAAUUAAAAAUAAUUAUACUAAAAUACUGAAUAUAUUUUGAUCAUAGACCAAAUAACUUAUUAGGUCUAUGAUUUUAACUUAUAAUACAUUUUUCAUUAAUAAGUUUUUUAUAUUGUCUGGUUAAAAUCACGGAAUAUGAAUCUCGUUUAUUCUUAGUUCGUGGUUAGAAUACGCUGGUUAAACGCAAAAAACAGCAAGUGAUAAAAUGUGAUAUUGCUAUCAUAUAAUUAAUUUAAAUAAAAUUCUGUGCGUUAUCCACGAACUCUAGUAGCUUAGUGUUCAAGGUCAUAAUAUUAUUUUUGAUAAAAAAUUUAAUUAGAUAAAUGACAAAAAAUAUGCCAAAUUGCCCAUUCAUCGUUAUUCAUUUUACUUCUUUAAUUUUUAUUCUUAUCUGCUAGUUUUAAGUUUGUUCGUCAUCACCGACUAAAUAUUUAGCCAUGGUCUAGUUCUAUACAUUUAAAUAUUACAAUAAACGUUUAGUUUCUUAAGCAUAGUGUAACAUUUCUAAUACUUAUAUAUUUUUAUUAUUUUUUUUUAAAAAAAGGUGAAUAUUUUUCAUACCAUGUUAAUAAUUUUAGUCACUUUAGUGUUAAGUUGUUUAGUUAGUCAUAUACUAACUGAAAAUUCAUGCAAUGGCAUACACAGCAAUUUUUCUCAACAUUUAGCCUCCAAAACACCGUAUAGAUAUAUUGCCAAUUACAACACAACACCUGUUGAAUUUAAGGGUAAUUAUGAAAAAUAAUUAUUCAACAAUAUUAGAUAGGGUAUAUUAUUCAUCAUACCUAGAUAAAAAUAUAUUAUUUUGGUGAUUAGGAUGUUAUCCUUGGAAAAUUUGGCUAGUUCAAAGACAUGGUACAAGAACACCUGGAAAAGAAUUGGAUCAAUUUGUGAAAGAAAGGUUACCAGUAAUUCAACAAGAAAUCACAAACAAUUUAAUUAAGCAUGAAGGUAUAAAAUUUAAAUUUGUAUUUUUAUAUUAAUUUAAUUGUGGAUAACAAUUUUUUUUUUUUUUUAGUAUUGGUAGAUAGGUAUCAUAAAAAGUUCAAUAAAUAAGUAUAUAGAAAAAAAAAUUAUUUUGUUUAUUGGCGUUUCGCUAGGUGGGUUGCGCAAAAAUAAAACAAUCAUAUUUUAACACUUUUUAAUUAAAAAAUAAAAAUAUAAAAUAUAUUAUGACAUGUAAUUUUUGUUCAAAUUUUUUAUAAUUUCCACAUCAAAAUUAUUCUUGUGUCUGGUAGAGAUGAUUAAAACUGUUAAAUGUAAUUGAUGUAGGAUUGGUUUUAAUUUUUUUCAUACAAGAAAAGAUCUGUUCACAGACAAAUGUAGAUCUAAAUUUGUUGCAGCUAUAUUAUCUAAAUAUUGAAAAUGAUGGAGUUAGUUCAGCAAAAGAAAAUACGGACACUUCGCACAAUAGGUGGGCCACUGUUGUAGGUGAGAUAUUAGGAAAGUAGGAUAUAGAGAGGCACUUAAUGUAUUCUUAUAUGUAGCGAGUAAUCAUUGCUAAUAAAAACAAUUUUAAGCAGAGUUAUAUGUUUUAAAAUGCAUAAUUAUGACCUUUAUUCACUGAAAUUUUAUAAUAAAAUUUGUUUUAAAAAAAAUACUAAGUACAUUAAACUCAACUUUUCCUUGUUGGCCCUACUAAGUACAACUUAUAAUGAACCUUAUGUUAAAUAUUCAAACAUUUCUGUUUGGUCUAUCAAUUUUAUCCACAGAGUACCUACUGAAAAAAUAUUUUACGUAAAAACCUUGCAAAAUUAAAAUAUCUAUUAAUAACUUAAAAAUGGCUCAAAUGUUUUGAAAAUUUCACCAUGUUUAAAAAAAACCAAAUAAAAGGUUUCUAAACAAAUUUCAAGUCUCUACGUCUCUAAAUCUUUAACUGAAUUACAAUAAAAAACAAAAUUGAAAAUCAUGAAAGCAUUAUUUCCUACAUUUUCCCAGUUUUCCCCAAUUAUUUUUAAAACUGCUUGGAAAAUCUAAAAAUGACUUCCUUUAAGUAGCACCCCAGGAAAAUUUCUUUUCAAGAUUUCUGGUAAAAUUUUUGUACACAGUAAAAGAAAAAAAACCAUCAUUGUUAAACUAAUACAUUUCUCGCUUCGCUUAGAAUUUAAUACAAAGAUGAUUGAUUGAAUAAGUUUUUAAGAAUAUCUUGUGAUUGUAAAUCUAAUAUUUCAAUUUGAAACCCAAUAGUAACAUAUUGUCAAAAUAAAUAUUAAAUAGUAUGGCAUGUAAUUAAAAAUAUUGUGAACAUAAUUUGAAAUGUAGAAAAUAAUUAUUUAAUUAUUAAUUUGUAUUGAACUAUACCUAGUCUAGGUAUCUAGAAGUAAAUGCAUAUUACACACUUGUACUGAAAAGAGGAGUAUGAAAUAAAUAUUUGUGCCACUGUUUACCUAUUACCGGUCUAAAUUCAUAGAAAAUCCAAUCAUUUUAACACCCUUGUCUUAUUGAUUAAACCACUAAGUACUUACAAUAUUGUCUAAAUUGUAUCAUAUAUUGUUAUAUAAUCAAGUGAACCAAAAAUUUAACUGUGCAUUUUGAUUCUUAAACCUAAACCUUAAAAGUGCAAGUGGUGUAUGACAAAAUAAGCUUUCAAGAUACCUGUUUGUACAGUUUGGGAGAUUUUCCUAGAACCUUGUAUGGGAAAUUUUAAGCAAAGGUCAAGGUUUACUAGUGACAAAGAUUCUUUUGACCAAUUAUAGGUUUGCUUAUUAUAUUAGAACCCUAAGUUUAUAUAAUAUAUUCAUUAUUUUUUUUUACAAUUUUUGCACGCUAUAUUUAAUUCCAUUAUUAUGUUUAUCAUACAUUUUAUUUACAUACACUUUAAACUUAUACUAUAGGUACCAUGUAUACAUUUUUCAUUGUUACCUACAUUUUAUAUUAUAUAAUAAUAUGACACUUAUAAUUCAGAAUGUCUUAAUAUAGCAAAUAUAAAACUUUAUCUGUAAUCAUAUAAUGUAAUAUACUGUUGACCUUCUAUUAAAUUGUGUCUAUGCAUGUUAUUAUAUGUAUUAUAAAUUAUAAGACUGUAUAAGUCAAGAACAGUUAACUACUAUUUAUACAUAAUAUAUUGUGUUGAAUAAAUAAAUAUAUAUUAUAUUUAACUUAGUGAUAAAACAUUAAAAUAUAAAUGUAAGAUAAUAGUAAAAUAAUCACUUGUGUUUGUAUUUAGGUAAUUUAUGUAAUGCAGAUGAAAUUAAAUCAUGGAGUUGUCAUAAAGAAAUAGAUAAUCAAAAACGGUUGACUAAAGAAGGAGAGGAUGAACUUUUCGCUAUUGCUGAACGCAUGCAACUACGGUUUCCUCAAUUAUUAAAUCAACCAUUUGCAAAUACAAAUUAUUUGGUAAAUUAUGAUUGUUGUGUGAUCCAUAUGUAGGUGUUUUAUUUAUCAGCAUACUUAUCUAGUUUAGGUAUACUGAUACUCAAAGAACUAAAAUAAGUGCUCAACAAUUCGCUACUGGUCUGUUUGGACGUUAUGAAGUUAAGAAAGUAUCAUUUGAAAAACCAUUGGAUAAAGACCCUCUAUUAAGAGUGAGCUAAUUAAUAUUCUUAUCUUAAAUAAUUAAAAAAAAUAUUCAUAUGAUCAACUAUUAUUAAAAUAAAUAAUGUUAGUAAUAAAAUUAAUGGCAGAAAACAAUUAUUGUAGGAGAACAAAAAAAUUGGUUAUUAAUACUAACAUUAUUUACAAUAAAAAUUAAAAAUGGCACAAAUUACAAUUUAAAAGAAAAAAAAAUGGAAAAUAUCAGUUAUCCCUUGGUGGAAUAUUAUCAUAUAAAUUUGUGUUACCAAAGUUGCUUAGAUAUUUUUAAUUUAACUGGUAAAUAUUUGAUCUUCUGUGUUAUUGCUUGAAUUUCACAACAUUAUUUAAAUGGUUUUUAACUUACUUAACAUUAUUUUAUAAAUACUUAUAAAUUUUAAAUUUUUGUUUCACCCAAAGACAUUAAAACCUGGAUUGGUAGUGAUAUUACUAUUAUAGUUUAUGAUAUAUAUUAUUUAUUAACAUUGAUAUUAUGCAUUUGUAUUCAAUAUUAUACUAGAAUUUUUUAAUAAUUGCAAUUAUUUAUGUAAUAUUUCAAUAUUAUUAUUUUCUAGUUUUAUAAAGUUUGCCAAAAAUGGAGAAAAGAUGUUAAAAAGUCUUCUUUGGCAUCUAUUGAAUACCAAAAAUUUAUUGAAAAUCAAUUAACUGUUAAUACUUUAAAAAAAUUAUCUUCAAGACUUGGCCUAAAUUACACAUUAACAUUCAGUUAGUAUUAGUACUCGUUAUUCCCGUUGAUUUUGGAAAUAAAAUAAAUAUAAUUAUUUAUUUAAGAGGAUGCAAAGAAUAUAUAUGUAUACUGUGCUUUUGAAACCGCAUGGGAAAAAUAUAAAAUCUCUCCAUGGUGUUCAAUUUUUGAUAAAUCUGAUCUAAUGGUAAUUUACUUUAAAUAGAAAUUACUAAUAACUUAUAGGUAGAUCAUUUUAAUAAUUUAUAUACUUUAUAGGUUUUUGAAUAUAGCGAAGAUUUAAAACAUUACUUGAUAGAUGGCUAUACUUAUGAGUUAACAUACAAACAAGCCUGUGUCCUAUUAAAAAAUAUGAUAGAACAUUUUGAGUAAGCAAUAACAUUAUCUUAUAAUUUUAAUAUAUAUACAUUUUUUAUUUUAUUUGAAGACUUUAUUUUAUUACUAAAACUGAUUCUAUAAUUGUUAAACUAAUCUUUUAUUGAUUUAUAACUUGGUACAUAUAAUUUCUUCCUUAAGUUGUUAGAGAUUGUAUCUUUCACUUCUUUAUGCAUUUAUUUUUUCUUCCCUGAUGUGUAUAAUAAAACCAUUGUACCGCAUAAUAAUAUGUUCUGUAGACUUUUUCUAGAUUGUUUAAAUCAUUAUGAUGAUCAGUUUUUUUCUUCUGCCAUAUUUGUUACACCUACAUUAGUUUUCCUUCUCUUCAGUUUAUCUUCAUCACUCUAAGACAUGUCCUCAUCUCCAAUGUCUUAAUUCUCCUUUAUGUCUAGUGUCUAAUAUCUAUUCGUUUGUGAUGUAAUAUAUUUGGUUGUUAUUUAUAGUAAUGAUGAUUUAAAUAGCAAAAAUGGUAUUUUCUAUUUUACUCAUUCCGGAACAAUUUUAAAAGUACUUGGGUUAUUAAGACUUUAUAAAGAUGAAAGUGAAUUGAAACAUGACAAUUACUUUGAAAUGGAGAAUCGACAAUGGAGGACUUCAAAAAUAGAUCCUUUUGCUGCAAACAUAGCAUUCGUUUUGUACAAGUACUUAAAUGAUUCAUCAGAUUAGCAUUUGAUAUAUUAUAUAUUAUAUAUAUUUAUUAUUUUUAUUUUUAGGUGUAAUAAUGAUGAAAAGAAAAUAUUGACAUUACACCAAGAAAGAAUUAUUCGUAUAAAUGGCUGCGAAGAUGAUCUUUGUCCAUAUGAUAAAUUUAAACAAUUAUUUAAAACUGAACUACAAAAUUGUAAUUUUAAUGAAAUGUGUAAUAUUGACUAAAAUAUUAUUUAGAUACCAUAAAUAAUGUUAUUUAGUUAGUAACAAAAUAUCCAUAUCAAUUAUUAUUUUUAUAAUUGAAUCAAUUAUUAUUAAUUAUAAUCAGUAAUAUUUUAGUUUUAUUAGGAUACUAAAUUUUAAACAAACAAUUA